UGAAAUACAAGUAGUGAAGUCCGUGAGCCAUGCGUCAAGAAAAGCCGCUAUUGUUUAUACCGUACCCGUACCGUAAACCGACACAGGUGGAUGAGGAGAGAAUCCUAAGGCCGGCGGAAGAAGCAUUGUCAAGGAACUCGGCAAAAUGACCCCGUAACUUCGGGAGAAGGGGUGCCACUGAGAAGUGGCCGCAGAGAAUAGGCUCAAGCAACUGUUUAGCAAAAACACAGGUCUAUGCGAAACCGAAAGGUGAGGUAUAUGGGCUGACGCCUGCCCGGUGCUGGAAGGUUAAGAGGAGAGGUUAGCGCAAGCGAAGCUUUGAAUUUAAGCCCCAGUAAACGGCGGCCGUAACAAUAACGGUCCUAAGGUAGCGAAAUUCCUUGUCGGGUAAGUUCCGACCCGCACGAAAGGCGUAAUGAUUUGAGCGCUGUCUCGACAAUGCAUCCGGUGAAAUUGAAGUACCAGUGAAGAUGCUGGUUACCUGCGCCAGGACGGAAAGACCCCAUGGAGCUUUACUCCAGUUUGGUACUGGGGUCCGGUAUUGCAUGUACAGGAUAGGUGGGAGGCUAGGAAGCAGUGACGCCAGUUGCUGCGGAGCCGCUGUUGGGAUACCACCCUUGCAGUACUGGGCUUCUAACCAGCCGCCGUGAACCGGCGGUGGGACAAUGCCAGACGGGGAGUUUGACUGGGGCGGUCGCCUCCGAAAGGGUAUCGGAGGCGCCCAAAGGUUCCCUCAGAAUGGACGGAAACCAUUCGAAGAGUGCAAAGGCAGAAGGGAGCUUGACUGCGACACCGACGGGUGGAGCAGGUACGAAAGUAGGGCUUAGUGAUCCGGUGGUAUUAAGUGGGAAUGCCAUCGCUCAACGGAUAAAAGCUACCCUGGGAUAACAGGCUUAUCACUCCCAAGAGUUCACAUCGACGGAGUGGUUUGGCACCUCGAUGUCGGCUCAUCGCAUCCUGGGGCUGUAGUAGGUCCCAAGGGUUGGGCUGUUCGCCCAUUAAAGCGGUACGCGAGCUGGGUUCAGAACGUCGUGAGACAGUUCGGUCCCUAUCCGGCGUGGGCGUAGGAUAUCUGAGAGGAGCUGUCCUUGGUACGAGAGGACCGGGAUGGACGGACCGCUGGUGUACCGGUUAGACUGCCAAGUCUACGGCCGGGUAGCCAAGUCCGGAAGGGAUAAACGCUGAAGGCAUCUAAGCGUGAAGCCCCCCUCAAGAUGAGAUGUCCCAUUCGAAAGAAGUAAACCCCCUUGAAGACGACGAGGUAGAUAGGGCAGAGGUGGAAGUGCAGUAAUGUAUGGAGCUGACUGUUACUAAUAGGGUGAGGGCUUGACCG
This 1333-nucleotide ribosomal RNA is filed under the name metagenome. RNAcentral's name for it is "bacterial LSU rRNA". It matches the Rfam family "Bacterial large subunit ribosomal RNA", at positions 1570 to 2925 of the family's 2925-position model. The record is from RNAcentral.